ACAUUCCAAUUAGUUCAUUUCCACAAAUAGCACAAACGCAUACACUAGCACACGAGCACUGAAACAAAUUAAAUAAUGGGUGCUAAACUCACUGUAAUAGAAAAUAGGUCAAAGAAUGAUAUCGAAAUUAGAGUAUGGGUUCCUCCGGCUCGACCGGACAAAUUUCAAAGAAUUAUCAGAAUUGAAGCUGAUGGAUGGAGGGAAUUAAAUUGCAAAAAUUUCAGUUACGGAAACUUGAGUCCUGAUGACUAUGAGGGAUUUAUGUCUACUUGGUUAAUGAUUUAUGUUGAUGGAGUUUAUACAGGAAAGUAUUUUCUUCCCACCCACUUGAUGAAGUAUGCGAAAGUCAUCUGCGACAGAAAUGAAGGACACUUUGUUAUACAAGGAAUCAAAGCAACCUUCGACUUCUGCAGAUUCAAGGGUUGUGCCUUCUUUCCCUAUCUCAGAGGAAACAACAAGGAGAUGGUUUGAUCCUCUAUUUAAGAAUAAUAUUCAAGUUCUGAUUUUCUUCUAGACUCAUCAUCCGAGUAGAAGAAGCUCAAAUUUUGAAGAUGUAUGUAUACAAUCAAUGUCCAAUGAUAUAUUGGCCCUCUUGUUUAUGACAUGAGGUUGUGCUAUAUAUAUUACCACUUUAAUAUUUCUAUAGUGCUUCAAGUUAUCCGGUCUAUCUUAUAUUUUGUGAGAUUAUAUUUAUGUUGUAAUGUUAUCUUUAUUCCAACUUCAUCUAAAUGUAUGGAGAAUGAAACUUCAUUUCUCGUUU
Molecule: long non-coding RNA, 760 nt
Organism: Lycium barbarum (goji berry)
Lineage: Eukaryota; Viridiplantae; Streptophyta; Magnoliopsida; Solanales; Solanaceae
Exons: 3
Source: RefSeq, a predicted model, not a curated record